This 326-nucleotide ribosomal RNA is filed under the name uncultured eukaryote. RNAcentral's name for it is "partial 18S ribosomal RNA". It matches the Rfam family "Eukaryotic small subunit ribosomal RNA", at positions 1470 to 1796 of the family's 1831-position model. The record is from RNAcentral.
CCCUUAGAUGUUCUGGGCCGCACGCGCGCUACACUGAUGCAUUCAACAAGCCUAGCCUUGACCGAGAGGUCCGGGUAAUCUUUGAAACUGCAUCGUGAUGGGGCUAGAUUAUUGCAAUUAUUAAUCUUCAACGAGGAAUGCCUAGUAAGCGUGAUUCAUCAAAUCGCGUUGAUUACGUCCCUGCCCUUUGUACACACCGCCCGUCGCUCCUACCGAUUGAAUGUGUUGGUGAGGAGCUCGGAUUGGCAGCAGUUGGUGGUUCGCCACCGGCUAUUGCUGAGAAGUCCUCCAAACCGCCCCAUUUAGAGGAAGGAGAAGUCAUAACA